AUUGGACAUGGGCGCGAGCCUGAUCCAGCCAUGCCGCGUGCAGGAAGACUGCCCUAUGGGUUGUAAACUGCCUUUAUACGGGAAGAAACCCACCUACGUGUAGGUGGCUGACGGUACCGUAAGAAUAAGCAUCGGCUAACUCCGUGCCAGCAGCCGCGGUAAUACGGAGGAUGCAAGCGUUAUCCGGAAUCAUUGGGUUUAAAGGGUCCGUAGGUGGACAAUUAAGUCAGAGGUGAAAUCCUGCAGCUCAACUGUAGAAUUGCCUUUGAUACUGGUUGUCUUGAAUUAUUGUGAAGUGGUUAGAAUAUGUAGUGUAGCGGUGAAAUGCAUAGAUAUUACAUAGAAUACCAAUUGCGAAGGCAGAUCACUAACAAUAUAUUGACACUGAUGGACGAAAGCGUGGGGAGCGAACGGGAUUAGAUACCCCGGUAGUCCACGCCGUAAACGAUGGUCACUAGCUGUUCGGAUUUCGGUCUGAGUGGCUAAGCGAAAGUGAUAAGUGACCCACCUGGGGAGUACGUCCGCAAGAAUGAAACUCAAAGGAAUUGACGGGGGCCCGCACAAGCGGUGGAGCAUGUGGUUUAAUUCGAUGAUACGCGAGGAACCUUACCAGGGCUUAAAUGUAGAUUGCAUUAGCUAGAGAUAGCUAUUUCUUCGGACUAUCUACAAGGUGCUGCAUGGUUGUCGUCAGCUCGUGCCGUGAGGUGUCAGGUUAAGUCCUAUAACGAGCGCAACCCCUGUUGUUAGUUGCCAGCAUGUAAAGAUGGGAACUCUAGCAAGACUGCCGGUGCAAACCGAGAGGAAGGUGGGGAUGACGUCAAAUCAUCACGGCCCUUACGUCCUGGGCUACACACGUGCUACAAUGGUAUAGACAAUGAGCAGCCACUUCGCGAGAAGGAGCGAAUCUACAAACUAUAUCUCAGUUCGGAUCGGAGUCUGCAACUCGACUCCGUGAAGCUGGAAUCGCUAGUAGUCGGAUAUCAGCCAUGAUCCGGUGAAUACGUUCCCGGGCCUUGUACACACCGCCCGUCAAGCCAUGGAAGCUGGGAGUGCCUGAAGUCCGUCACCGCAAGGAGCGGCCUAGGGUAAAAUCGGUAACUAGGGCUAAGUCGUAACAAGGUAGCCGUACCGGAAGGUGCGGCUGGAACACCUCCUUUCU
Molecule: ribosomal RNA, 1159 nt
Filed under: uncultured Flavobacteriaceae bacterium
Lineage: Bacteria; Pseudomonadati; Bacteroidota; Flavobacteriia; Flavobacteriales; Flavobacteriaceae
Description: bacterial SSU rRNA
Rfam family: Bacterial small subunit ribosomal RNA
Source: RNAcentral